AUUGAACGCUGGCGGCAUGCUUUACACAUGCAAGUCGAACGGUAACAGGCCGCAAGGUGCUGACGAGUGGCGCACGGGUGAGUAAUGCAUCGGAACGUGCCCAGUCGUGGGGGAUAACUACUCGAAAGAGUAGCUAAUACCGCAUACGAUCUAUGGAUGAAAGCGGGGGACCGUAAGGCCUCGCGCGAUUGGAGCGGCCGAUGUCAGAUUAGGUAGUUGGUGGGGUAAAGGCUCACCAAGCCAACGAUCUGUAGCCGGUCUGAGAGGACGACCAGCCACACUGGGACUGAGACACGGCCCAGACUCCUACGGGAGGCAGCAGUGGGGAAUUUUGGACAAUGGGCGCAAGCCUGAUCCAGCAAUGCCGCGUGCAGGAAGAAGGCCUUCGGGUUGUAAACUGCUUUUGUACGGAACGAGACGGAUCUGGUUAAUACCCGGGGCUAAUGACGGUACCGUAAGAAUAAGCACCGGCUAACUACGUG
RNAcentral lists this ribosomal RNA (482 nucleotides) under uncultured bacterium. RNAcentral's name for it is "partial 16S ribosomal RNA". It matches the Rfam family "Bacterial small subunit ribosomal RNA", at positions 30 to 507 of the family's 1533-position model. The record is from RNAcentral.